CCUCGGGCGGCAGCAGUGGGGAAUAUUGGACAAUGGGCGAAAGCCUGAUCCAGCCAUGCCGCGUGUGUGAAGAAGGCCUUCGGGUUGUAAAGCACUUUCAGUGGGGAAGAAAGCCUUGGGGCUAAUACCCUCGAGGAAGGACAUCACCCACAGAAGAAGCACCGGCUAACUCCGUGCCAGCAGCCGCGGUAAUACGGAGGGUGCGAGCGUUAAUCGGAAUUACUGGGCGUAAAGCGCGCGUAGGCGGUCUGAUAAGCCGGUUGUGAAAGCCCCGGGCUCAACCUGGGAACGGCAUCCGGAACUGUCAGGCUAGAGUGCAGGAGAGGAAGGUAGAAUUCCCGGUGUAGCAGUGAAAUGCGUAGAGAUCGGGAGGAAUACCAGUGGCGAAGGCGGCCUUCUGGACUGACACUGACGCUGAGGUGCGAAAGCGUGGGUAGCAAACAGGAUUAGAUACCCCGGUAGUC
RNAcentral lists this ribosomal RNA (464 nucleotides) under Vreelandella stevensii. Its description in RNAcentral is "partial 16S ribosomal RNA". It matches the Rfam family "Bacterial small subunit ribosomal RNA", at positions 339 to 795 of the family's 1533-position model. The record is from RNAcentral. Lineage: Bacteria; Pseudomonadati; Pseudomonadota; Gammaproteobacteria; Oceanospirillales; Halomonadaceae.